RNAcentral lists this ribosomal RNA (253 nucleotides) under uncultured bacterium. Its description in RNAcentral is "partial 16S ribosomal RNA". It matches the Rfam family "Bacterial small subunit ribosomal RNA", at positions 524 to 776 of the family's 1533-position model. The record is from RNAcentral.
UACGUAGGUGGCGAGCGUUGUCCGGAUUUACUGGGCGUAAAGGGCGCGUAGGCGGGAUGGCAAGUCGGUCGUGAAAUCCUUCGGCUCAACCGAAGAACGUCGAUCGAUACUGCUGUUCUUGAGGGUUGCAGAGGAGACUGGAAUUCCCGGUGUAGCGGUGAAAUGUGUAGAGAUCGGGAGGAACACCGGUGGCGAAGGCGGGUCUCUGGGCAAUUCCUGACGCUGAGGCGCGAAAGCGUGGGGAGCAAACGGG